AAAGCGUGCGCAGGCGGUUUUGUAAGACAGGCGUGAAAUCCCCGAGCUCAACUUGGGAAUGGCGCUUGUGACUGCAAGGCUAGAGUAUGUCAGAGGGGGGUAGAAUUCCACGUGUAGCAGUGAAAUGCGUAGAGAUGUGGAGGAAUACCGAUGGCGAAGGCAGCCCCCUGGGACGUCACUGACGCUCAUGCACGAAAGCGUGGGGAGCAAACAGGAUUAGAUACCCCAGU
RNAcentral lists this ribosomal RNA (230 nucleotides) under uncultured bacterium. RNAcentral's name for it is "partial 16S ribosomal RNA". It matches the Rfam family "Bacterial small subunit ribosomal RNA", at positions 562 to 791 of the family's 1533-position model. The record is from RNAcentral.